Long non-coding RNA from Loxodonta africana (African savanna elephant), 11870 nucleotides. RefSeq lists it as uncharacterized. The transcript has 10 exons. NCBI's taxonomy places the organism in Eukaryota, Metazoa, Chordata, Mammalia, Proboscidea, Elephantidae. The record is from RefSeq and is a predicted model, not a curated record.
GAUACUUCAUUUGUAUAGUAGGCUAGAGUCACCUCAUUUGCAUAGUCCAUAGUCACUUCAUUCACAUAGUAUAUUGACCAAUCCCUGCAAGAUGCAUACCAAUCACAGGGCAGGUUGCUGCCCAGUACCUGACAAAAAGUAUCAAAACUAAGUUGUUUACGGCUUAUCCAGGAAAUGUCAAUCAACCUAGACAAAGUGCCAAAUCCUCUGGGCUAGAAAACUAGGGCAAAGGUGACUUCUCAGGGCUUAGAGGAAAAAUCUCUCAAGCUGUUUUUCCAGAGAAGCAAGGCAAAAAGCUGUAUAAAAGAACUUAUUUCACCACCGAAAAAAAAAAAAAACCCCGUUGCCGUCGAGUCGAUUCCGACUCAUAGUGACCCUACAGGACAGAGUAGAACUGCCCCAUAGAGUUUCCAAGGAGUGCCUGGAAACUUUUCACCACAGUUAGUCCUUUUUAUAUUGCCCUAGAUGUUCUCAUGCUGUGUUCUGUUUUCUUCUUUGUUUUCUCUUUGCUUCAGUUGGGUUUUUCUGUUGAUGUGUUUUUUAGUUUGCUGAUCCUUUCUAAUUCUAUGCUCAAUUGGUAUUAAUACCAUGCAGUAUUGUAUUUUUCAGUUCUAGAAUGUCUGUGAUGGUUAAGGUUAUGUGCCAACUUAGCUAGGCCAUAAUUCUCAGUGGGUUGGCAGAUAUUGUGUAAUCAUCCUCCAUCUUGUGAUCUCAUGUGAGAAGCCAAUCAGUUGAAAGGAGAGUUUCCUUGGGGUGUGGCCUGCAUCUAAUACGUGAAUGUUCUGGCAAACUCUGUCUCUUCCUCAAUCCUACAUUUGCUUCAUCAUUCUCUGAACUUAGGUUCUUGUGACGUGAGCCAGCAGCCUGCAGAGUUUGGAUUCACUAGCUUCUACAACUCUCUGAGCCAGCAGCCUGCUGCCUGACCUACAGAUUUUGGUAUUGUCUGCCCCUGCUACCACGUUAGUCAGGAGAAGCCUCCAGCCUGCUGCUGACCCAUAGAUUUGGGACUUGCCAGCCUCCACAACUGUGUUGGUGGAGUUUGCGUGCUAUUCUGGUCUCUGGUCUGGUAGCACUGGAGUGUUCACCACCUUUCUCCAGGUAUAUGAUUUUCAACUUCCUCUUCUGCUGAGACUACUGUAUAUGUAAGCUUUGGUGACUUUCACGUCAUUGCAAGCUUAGAGUAUGGUACCUACUGAUGGAGAAAAGCUGGACAAUGAAUAAGAAAGGCCAAAGAAAUAUUGAUGCCUUUGAAUUAUGAUGUUGGCAGAGAGUACUGAAUAUACCAUGGACUUCCAGAAGAACGAACAAAUCUGUUGUGAAACAAGUACAGCCAGAAUGCUCCUUGGAGGUGAGGAAGAUUGUCAUAAGCUUAGACCCUUAACUGAAUGCCUUCAAGAUCAAGGUGAAGCCGGAGUUUGGAGCUAGAUUUUAUCCACAGCCUACAGGUUUGUCUUUCUUAACAUACUUACUCAAAUUUAUAGACAUUGAGUCUCAAUAACAUUGAUGCUGUCAGAAGACUUGGUUUUUAGAUUGAGAAACUAUGGGUGCCAGAGAAGGCCUUUCGAGAGCAUCGGCUACUAGAUGGAGUGGCUGCUCAGGGAGCCUAGAAGUCUGAAUUCAGGGUGCCAGCUUCAGGGAAAGGCUUUGUGUCUCUGAGCUCUGGGGGAAGGGCCUCGUCAUCAAUCUUCCCCUGCUCUAGGAGCUUCUCAGCACAGACACCCCAGGUCCAAAUGACACACUCCACUCCUGGCUCUUCUUGCUCGGUGAUAAUGAGCUCUGUAGUAUGCCAGCACAUGCUUAACAUCAUGGAAGGAAGGAGUCCUGUGUCAUGUCGCUGAGUUGCUCAAGGCAAGAAGACCCAGAGCCAGCAAGAGUGAAACAAAAAGCAAAGGAGGGUUCCUGUUCCCUGCUGGUGGGAUCUUCAAGAUAUUCCAGUAAACUCGGUCGCCUAGAAACAAGACAUGCCAACUAAAAUAUGUCAUUUUGUUACUUAUGCGUUAUAUAUAAGUCCCCAAAUACAAGAUGUAGUCAUGGCAUGGCAAAAUGUUCACAAAAGCUUCUAAACAGCUGCGGUCAAAUGAGUUCCUUCUUGGGGCCUUUUGCCUUGGUUCUAGAAAAACAGCUUGAGAGAUUUUUCCCCUAAGCCCUGAGGUUUUCUACCCCAGAGGAUUUGUUACCUUUGUCCAGGUUGAUUGACAUUUCCUGGGUAAGCUGUAAACAACUUGGUUUUGAUAGUUGUUGUCUGGUUCUGGGCAGCAGCCUGCCCUAUGAUUGGUAUGCACCUUGCAGGGACUGGUCGAUAGACUAUGCAAAUGAGGUGACUUUAGCCUAGUAUGCCAGUGAAAUGUCUGUGGACUACGGAGAGGGAAUUGAUCAGUUUGUGGCCCCACUGGGAGAAGCCAUGCCCUGAAAUUCACAAGGAGUUGUGUGUAUAUGCAGCCAGACCCACAGAGGUUUCAGAGACAGAAAGAAGCAGGAAGAGCACCAGAGAGAAGCAGAGGGAAGAAAGAAGCAGCAGAGAGAGAGGAGGCAAGGAACCUCCUAAAAGAACUAUAACAAAAGAAGAGCUGUUAUACUGAAGACAGUAGAGGCCUAGAAGGGCUCCAGUGGCUGAGCUUGGCCGUGACAGAUGGCAGGGCCAGAAGAAGCUUUUCCUCAGGGGGCCAAGAGGAGGCCUGUCCUCAGGGGGCUGAGAGGAGCCUGUCCUCAGGGGGCUGAGAGGAGCCUGUCCUCAGGGGGCUGAGAGGAGCCUGUCCUCAGGGGGCUGAGAGGAGCUUGUCAUCAGGAGCCAAGAGGAGGCCUGCACAACCGAGAGGAGCUGAGAGAACUGUUCUGCACUGAAGAAGGGAGACUUUGCUUACGUGCUUCCUGAUCCUGGCCCUGAGUGUAGCCUGUUGAUCUUGAUCCCAUGUGGUACUCUGUUACUUCCUUAAUAAACCACUUAAUUGUAAGUAUAGCUUAUGAGUUCCAUGUGGCCAUUGCAAUGGAUUAUCGAACCCAGAAAAGAAGUGGAAAGAGCCGUGGGAGGGACGGCUGGUGUCAGAAUUGGUAAAACGCCAUGGGCUGGUCCUGGUCUUUAUCCCCCCCUAAAGUUAUAUGCUACUUACCUACCAUUUUUACAACAGCCUUUGAGAUUUGAGAGCUUAAUGAAGAAGUAGAUUAUAUUUGAAAAUUUGCUUUGUAAAAUGGGCAGAUAUGAAAUUUGUAAUGUUACUUAUUAAAAAAUGAUUACUCGCCCGAUCUUGAACACUUUGCAGUGAUAUGCAGCAGAAUAGGCUACUGAAAUUCCUGCACAUUAGCUUUAUUUGAAAGUGCAGUGAAUGUCUUUAAAUAUUUAUGUUUUAUGUAUCUAUCUUAAUAGUUUUAAAAUUUUUAUCCUUGUAAGUAAGGUUUGAAAUGUCUAUUGUUUUCUGAUUUAGUUAUUCAGAUAAAUGUUUACUACCUUUUUCUUAAGAAGAGGGUAUGGAGAAAAGGAUACUAUAUAAGAAAGCAAAAUAAUAUACCCGCUAAAAAACCCACUGCCGUCGAGUCAAUUCCAAUUCAUACUGACCUUAUAGCAGACUAGAAACGCUCCAUAGAGUUUCCAGGGAGGGCCUGGCGGAUUUGAACUGCUGACCUCUUGGUUAGUAGUGGUAGCACUUAACCACUAUGCCACCACGGUUUCGCUGUAGUGACCGUUAAAAUGACCACUGAUCAGAGGGACUGUUAUGGAAAUUUCUUUUACUAUUGUUCCCCACAAAAGGUGAAAUAGUUAUAGUUAUUUUUUAGAUCCACUAGAGGGAGUAAUGCUGUACAGAUGUGUAUUUUUUAAUGAAAAAGGUUUAUCAUUGAGUUAGUAAAUAAAUGUGUGGUAAUCCUAUUAUCAGAAUUCAAUAGCUGUGAUAUUUUAAGUCUUGUUCUUUGUGAAUGUUGCUGCGAAGUUGCUUUAAACUAGAAACCAGGUUUUCAGUGACAGAGGGGAGUACUCUGUGUUUUCACACAUUUGUCCUGCUUCUUUCUCUCCCUUCUAAUAUAGUUCCUCAAUUUUCUAUUUCUGCUUACUGCCCUGAGGCAACUUUGAUAUGCAAAUAAGCUUUAGCAUGCAAAAAUGGAAGCUUUUGAGAUUCUGGCUUUAGUUUUUUUUUAGAGGUGAUGUGUUUGGUAUGGUAGCCCCAUGAUUAAAUGAUUCCAGCUUCACUUCUAUGCAGUUCUCAGGAGCAAGUAUUCUUAGGACUUGAGAACCUGUCCUUGGACACCCUGCCAGCCUUCCAGGGUCUGUGCUCCUGCUCUCCUGCAGAGCCAGAGAGGACCCCUGUUACUGACGGUGAAUGAUACUCCGAAACAGGAGACCUCUUUCAUGUAGCAAUGGCAAUAUGAAGUUUCAAAUUUGAAUGUGUUUUAAUUUUCAGGUCUUAAAAAAUUAAUCUGUAUGUGUGGUUUGAAAUAACUUAAGACUCACUGAAAACGUAAGUAUGUUUAUAAUGGAAAGCAUAGCACCAUGCUCAAAUUCCCCCUCCUCUCGUGUCACUCCUUGGAGCAAUCACUUUUUAAAAUUAAAAAAAAAUAAUAAGUUUUUAAUUAAAAUUUACAUGCAGUGAAAUGUACAGGUCUUGAGCCUUCAAAUCAAUUGGUUUUGAUAAAGUGGUGCAGCCAUGCAACCACCAAUGUACUCGAGAUACAGAUCAUCUCUUUCACACCAGAAAGUGCCCUCAUGCUAGUCAGACUUGCACUUCUGUGCAGGAAAGCAAAAUUAAUUCACCACGACGUUGUUAGUUGCCAUCAGGUAGAUUCCGAUUCCAACCCAAUGCCGUCGAGUCGAUUCCGACCCAGAGUUUCCAAGGAUGUGGUGACCACUAAAAUGACCAUUGGUCAGAGUGAGUGUUACAGAUUUUCUUUUUUACUAUUUUCCCAAAAGUGAAAUGGUUAGAAAUCUGUAUUUUUUUUUUUUUUAGAUGCACUAGAGGGAGUACUGUCAAACCUCCAUUUUUUUUAAUUACUUAUGAUUAGCGAUCCUAUAAGACAAAGUAGACCUGCCCCUCAUGGUUUCCAAGGAGCACCUGGUGGAUUUGAACUGCUGACCUUUUGGUUAGCAGCCAUAGCUCUUAACCACUACACCACCAGGGUUUCCAAUAUUGAUAUGUUGUUGUUAGGUGCCAUCAGUCAGUUCUGACUCAUAGCGACCCCAUGUACAACAGAACAAAAUGCUGCCUGGUUCUGCACCAUCCUCAUAAUUAUUGUUAUGCUUAAGCCCAUUGUUGCAGCCACUGUGUCAAUCCAUCUCAUUGAGGAUCUUCUUCUUUUUCUCUGACCCUCUACUUUACCAAGCAUGGUGUCCUUCUCCAGGGACUGAUCCCUCCUGAUAACAUGUCCAAAGUAUGUAAGACAUAGUCUCGCCAUCCUUGCUUCUAAAGAGCAUUCUGGUUAUACUGCUUCCAAGACAGAUUUGUUCCUUCUUUUGCAGUCUAUGGUAUAUUUAAUAUUCUUCUCCAACACCGUAAUUCAAAGACGUCAAUUCUUUUUUGGUGUUCUUUAUUCGUCCUUAGCUUUCACAUGCACAGGAAGCAAUUGAAAACACCAUGGCUUGGGUCAGGCACACCUUAGUCUUCAAGGUGACAUCUUUGCUUUUCAACACUUUAAAGAGGUCUUUUGCAGCAGAUUCGCCCAAUGCAAUGUGUGGUUUGAUUUCUUGACUGCUGCUUCCAUGGAUGUUGAUUAUGGACCCAAGUAAAAUGAAAUCCUUGACAACUUCAGGGUUUUCUCUGUUUAUCAUGAUGUUGCUUACUGGUCCUGUUGUGAGGAUUUUUGUUUUCUUUAUGUUGAGGUGUAAUCCAUACUGAAGACUGUGGUCUUUGAUCUUCAUCAGUAAGUGCUUCAAGUCCUCACCACUUUCAGCAGGCAAGGUAGUGUCAUCUGCAUAACACAGGUUGUUAAUGAGUCUUCCUCCAAUCCUUAUGCCACAUUCUUCAUAUAGUUCAGCCUCUCGGAUUGUUUGGUCAGCAUACAGAUUGAAUAGGUAUGGUGAAAGGAUACAACCUUGAUGCACACGUUUCCUGACUUUAAACCUCAUGGUAUCCCCUUGUUCUGUUCAAACGACUGCCUCUUGGUCUAUGUACAAGUUUAUCAUAAGCACAAUUAAGUGGUCUGGAAUUCCCAUUCUUCGCAGUAUUAUCCAUCAUUUGUUAUGAUCCACACAGUCAAAUGCCUUUGCAUAGUCAAUUAAACAGGGGUAAACAUCCCUCUGGUAGUCUCUGCUUUCAGCCAGGAUCUAUCUGACAUCAGCAAUGAUAUCCCUGCUUCCAUGUCUUCUUCUGAAUCUGGCUUGCAUUUCUGGCAGUUCCCUGUCAAUAUACUGCUGCCGCUGCUUUUGAAAAAUCCUCAGCGAAAUUUUACUUGCGUGUGAUGUUAAUGAUGUUAUUCGAUAAUUUCUGCAUUCGGUGGGAUCACCUUUCUUGGGAAUAGGCAUAAGUAUAGAUCUCUUCCAGUCGGUUGGCCAGGUAAGCUGUCUCCCAAAUUUCUUGGCAUACACAAUUGAGUACUUCCAGCGCUGCAUCUGUUUGUUGAAACAUCUCAAUCGGUAUUCCAUCAAUUCCUGGAGCCUUGUUUUUUGCCAGUGCCUUCAGUGCAGCUUGGACUUCUUCCUUCAGUACCAUUGGUUCCUGCUCAUAUGGUACCUCCUGAAAUGGUUGAAUGUCGACCAAUUAUUUUUGGUAUAGUGACUCUGUGUAUUCUUUCCAUCUGUUCUUGAUGCUUCCUGAGUCGUUUAAUAUUUUCCCCAUAGAAUCCUUCAAUAUUGUAACUCAAGGCUUGAAUUUUUUCUUCAGUUAUUUCUGCUUAAGAAAUGCCGAGCAUAUUCUUGCCUUUUGGUUUUCCAUCUCCAGGUCUUUGCACACGUCAUUACAAUACUUUACUUUGUUUUCUUGAGCCACCCUUUGAAAUCUUUUGUUCUACUCUUUUACUUCAUCAUUUCUUCCUUUUGCUUUAGCUACUCAAUGUUCAAGAGCAAAUUUCAGAGUCUCUUUUGACAUCCGUUUUGGUCUUUCCUUUCUUUCCUGCCCUUUUAAUGAUCUCUUGCUUUCUUCAUGUAUGAUAUCCUUGAUGUCAUUCCACAACUUGUCUGGUCUUUGGUCAUUAGUGUUCAACACAUCGAAUCUGUUCUUGAGAGGAUCUGUAAAUUCAGGCGGGAUAUACUCAAGGUCGUACUCUGGCUCUCGUGGACUUGUUCUAAUUUUCUUCAGUUUCAACUUGAACUUGCAUAUGAGCAAUUGAUGGUCUAUUCCACAGUUGGCCCCUGGCCUUGUUCUGACUGAUUAUAUUGAGCUUUUCCAUCGUCUCUUCCCACAGACAUAGUUGAUUUGAUUCCUAUGUAUUCCAUCUGGCGAGGUCCACGUGUAUAGUUGCCGUUUAUGUUGGUGAAAAAAGGUAUUUGCCAUGAAGAAAUCAUUGGUCUUGCAGAAUUCUAUUAUGAAAUCUCUGACAUCCUUUCUAUCACCAACGCCAUAUUUUCCAACUACUGUUUCUUCCUCUUUUUUCCAACUUUCGCAUUUCAAUCUCUGGUAAUUAUCAAUGCAUCCUGAUUACAUGUUUGAUCAAUUUCAGACUGCAGAAGCUGGUAAAAACUUCAGUUUCUUCAUCUUUGUCCUUAGUGGUUGGUGCAUAAAUUUGAAUAAUAUUCAUAUUAACUGGUCUUCCUUGUAGGCUAAUGGAUUUUAUCCUAUCACUGACAGCCUUGUACUUCAGGAUAGGUCUUGAAAUACUCUUUUUGACGAUGAAUGCAAUGCCAUGCCUCUUCAAGUUGUUGCUCCUGGCAUAGUAGACCCUAUGAUUGUCCAAUUCAAAACGGCCAACACUAGACCACUUCAUCUCACUAAUGCCUAGGAUAUCAAUGUUUAUGCAUUCCAUUUCGUUUUUGAUGACUUCCAAUUUUCCUAGGUUCAUGCUUCGUACAUUCCAUGUUCCAAUUAUUAAUGGAUGUUUGCACUGUUUCUUCUCAUUUUGAGUUGUGCUAUAGCAGCAGAUAGAUCUCUAAACCUUGACUCCAUCCAUGUCAUUAAGGUCAACUCUAGUUUGAGGAGGCAGCUCUUCCCCAGUCAUGUUUUGAGAGCAUUCCAACCUGAGAGGCUCAUCUUCCAGCACUAUAUCAAACAAUGUUCCACUGUUAUUCAUAAGGUUUUCACUGGCUAAAUCUUUCCAGAAGUAGACUGCCGUGUCCUUCUUCCUAGUCCAUCUUAGCCUGGAAGCUCAGCUGAAAACUGUCCGCCAUGGGUGAUCCUGCUGAUAUUUGAAUACCAGUGGCAUAGCUUCCAGCAUCACAGCAACAUGCAAACCCCCACAGUACGACAAACUGACAUACACUUGGAGGAAUUUUGAUAUAGUAUCUAAGAAAUCAUUGCUUAACCCAAGGCCAUGAAGAUUUAUGUUUUCUUAUAAAAGAUUUUUUAGUUUUAGGUCUUAAAUUUAAGUCUAUGAUCUAUUUUGAGUUAAAUUUUAUGUAUGGUUUAAGGUAGGACUCCGAAUUCAUCCUUUUGCAUGUGAAUAUCCAGUUGUUCCAGAACCAUUUGUUGAAAAGACUAGUCUUUCACCCAUUGAAUUGUGUCAGCACCUUUGUCAAAAAUCAGUUGACCAUAAAUAUAAGGGUUUAUUUCUGGAUUCUCAAUUUUGUUCCAUGAAUCUAAAUGUCUAAGUACAGCCAGGGUGCUCCUUAGAAGCAAGGAUGACAAGACUAUGUCUCGCAUAGUUUGGACGUAUUAUCAGGAGGGAUCAGUCCCUGGAGAAGGAUAUCAUGCUUGGUAAAGUAGAGGAUCAGCAAAAAAGAGGAAGACCCUCAAUGAGAUGGAUUGACACAGUGGCUGCAACAAUGGGCUUAAGCGUAACAAUGAUAGUAAGGAUGGCGCAGGACUGGGCAGUGUUUCAUUCUGUUGUACGUAGGGUUGCUAUGAGUUGGAAACGACUCAGUGGCACCUAAAAACAACAACGUACCAAUACCAUACUGUCUUGAUUACUGCAUCUUUGUAUUAAGUUUUGAAAUUGGAAAGGUAAGUUCUCCAACUUUGCUCUUCUUUUCCAAGAAUGUUUUAGCUAUUCUGAGCACUUCGCUUUUCUGUAUGGAUUUUAGGCCAGCUUGUCAAUUUCUGCUACCUUCCUUCCCCCACCCCAACCCCUAAAAAAAAAAAUGUCAGUUGAGAUUUCGAUAGAGAUUGCAUUGAGUCUUCGAUCAAUUUGGGGAGAAUUGCCAUCUUAAUAUUGAGUCUUCCAAUCCAUGAAAAUGAAAUAUUUCUCCAUUUAUAUGGAUCUUCUCCAAUUUUUUUCAACAAUGUUUUAUAAUUUUCAAUGUUAAAGUCUUAUACUUCUUUUGUUAAAUUUACUCCUAAGUAUUUUAUUCUUGUUGAUGCUAUUAUGAAUGGGACAACUUUCUUGAUUUUGUUUCAAUUGUUCAUUGCCAGUGUAUAGAAAUAGUUUCUUUUUUAUGUUGAUCUUCCAACCUGCCAGAUUGCUGAACUCCUUCAAUUCUAGUGAAUGUAGUGGAUUCCUUAUGAUUUUCUAUGUACAAGAUUAUGUUAUCUGAAACUGAAGAUAGGUUUACUUUUGCCUUUGUGGUCUGGAUGCCUUGUAUUUCUUUUUUUGUCUAAUUGCCUUUGCCAGAACUUCCAGUACAGUUUUGAAUAGAAGUGUAAAAAUGGAUAUCUUUGUCUUAUUCUCAAUCUUUUGGAGAAAAUCAUUCAGUCUUUUGGUAAGCAGAAAUUCUCAAUUUUGAUAAAGUCCAGCUUAUCAAUUUUUUUCUUUUGUAGUUAGUGUUUUUUGUAUUCUAAGAAAUCUUUUCCAACUUCAGGUUGUGAAGAUUUUCUGUAAAAGUUCUGUAGUUUAUCUUACAAGUUUAGGUCUAUUAUCCAUUUCAAAUUAAUUUUUGUGUAUAGGGUGAGGUAGGGGUAGAGGUUCUUUUUAUAGGUAUAAAAAAAAUUUUUUUUUUUUUUUUUUUUAGGUAUAGAUGCAGAUAUAUUUAGAUAUCCAGUUGUUCCAGCAUCAUUUGUUGAAAAGACUGUCCUUUCCUCCAUUGAAUAACAUUUGCACCUUUGUUGAAACAUGUGAUGGUUAAUGCUAUAUGUCAACUUGGUUAGGGUGUGAUUCUCAGUGGUUUGACAGAUCACUUUCCAUUCUGUGAUCUCAUGUGAGCAGCCAGUCAGUUGAAAGGGGAGUUUCCUUGGGAUUGUGGCCUGUCUUCAGUAUAUAAAUGGAUGUUCUGGCAAAGCGCGUUCUCUUUCUUGACCCUGCACUCUUCUCCUCGCCUAAUCUCCAUUUCUUUGGAAGUAAGCCUACAGAAGUCUUUGGCCUGGUCUGACCUGCAGAUUUUGGAUUUGCCAACCCCCACAACCAUAUGAACAAGCAGAGGUCUCCAGCCUGCCCUCUGACCUGCAGAUUUUGGAUUCACCAGUCCCUGCAACCACGUGAGCCAGCAGAGGUCUUCAGCCUGUUGCCUGACCCAUGGAUUUGGGACUUCCCAGCUCCCCCCCUACUUGAGUUAGCCAUUUCCUCACAAUUGAGUGAGCCAUUUCUGUGAAGUAAAUUUUCUCUCUAUAUAUAUUUAUAUACACCUGACUAAUUUUGUUUCUCUAGAGAACCCAAACUAAGAAAAAAAGCAAAUAAAUUUACAAGUGUCAGCAUUACAUGUAUGUUAGGAUUAUGUUAACCUCAUAAAAUGAGUUUGAAAGUAUUCUCUAUUUUCUGUAGAAGUUUCUGUAAGAUUGGUAUUAUUUCUUAAUCUUAAAUAAUUGAUAAAAUUUACCAGCAAAAUUAUAUGAGCCUGGAAUUUUCUUUUUGGGGAGGUUUUUGGUUAUGAGUUCAAUUUUUGAAUAGAUACAGGGUUAUUCAGGUUCUCUAUUUCUCUUUGAGUUUCUUUAGGUAGGUUGUCUUUUUCGAGAAAUUUAUCGAUUUCAUUUAAGUUGUCAAAUUCAUUGUCACAACGUUGUUUAUAUUACUACCUUAUUUUCCUUUUAAUUUUUUGUAAGAUUUUUAAUUCUAUCCCUUUUUCAUUCCUGAUAUUGGCAAUUUCUGUCUUAUCUCUUUUUUUCUUGAUUAGUCUUAUGAUUUUUAUCAAUUUAUUAAUCUUUUUAAAGAACUAACUUUUGGCUUUGUUAAUUUUCUCUUUUUUAUUUUGUAGUUGUUCUUCUAGCUUCUUAAAGUGUUAGCUUAGAACAUUGAUUUUAAACCUUUCUUCUUUCCUAAUAUAUAUAUUUAAAUGAUAAAUUUCUCUUUUUUAACUGCAGUAUUCUGAUUUUGUAUGUUAUGUUUAACACAGUUGUAUUCAGUUUUCAAUAUGUUCUGAUUUCCAUUAUGAUUUCCUCUUCAAUCUAAAGGUUAUUUAAAAGUGCGCUGUUUAAUUUCUAAAUACUUGGUGGUUUUCUAGAUGUCUUAUUAUUACUGAUUUAUAACUUUAUUCUAUUGUGGUCAGAGAACAUACUCUGAGAGUUCAAGCUUUUGAAAUUUAUUGAGACUUAAGCCCCAAAACAUGGUCUUAUCUUGGUGAAUGUUCCAUGUGCACUUGAAAAAAUGGGUACUCUGUAUUUGAUAGGGAUAAAAAAACAAACAAAAAAACGCAUUGCUGUUGAGUCUUUUCUGACUCACAGUGACCCUGUAGGACAGUGUAGACCUGCCCCAUAGGAUUUCCAAGGAGCUUUUACUGAUGGAUUCAAACUGCCAACCUUUUGGUUAGCAGCCGAGCUCUUAACCACUGCACCACCAGGGCUGUUAAUUAAAUGAAGUUGUUUGACAGUGUGCAAAAUUUCAGUUUACUCAUUCUAUCAAUUACUGAGAAAAAGGUUGUUAAAAUAUCAAACUAUGAAUGUGAAUUUGUCUAUUUAUCCCUUAACUUCAGUAAGUUUUUGCUUCCUAUAAUUUGA